RNAcentral lists this transfer-messenger RNA (196 nucleotides) under Gammaproteobacteria bacterium. RNAcentral's name for it is "partial transfer-messenger RNA". It matches the Rfam family "transfer-messenger RNA", at positions 1 to 211 of the family's 374-position model. Rfam says of the family: Bacterial tmRNA, also known as 10Sa RNA or SsrA, is named for its dual tRNA and mRNA-like properties. Its role is to liberate the mRNA from a stalled ribosome. To accomplish this part of the tmRNA is used as a reading frame that ends in a translation stop signal. The record is from RNAcentral. Lineage: Bacteria; Pseudomonadati; Pseudomonadota; Gammaproteobacteria.
GGGGACGACCUGGCUUCGACGUGGGGUUGCAAUUCCUGAAGUGCAUGUCGAGCUCUUCGGUAACUCGUUAAACUGCUGAUAAACUAUAAACGCUGAAAAUAAACCUUUAGCCCUAGCAGCCUAACUGCCGCUAGCUUCACUAAGAGUAGGCUUAUAUGCUCUUUACUGAAGUCAUAAUGAUAAGACCGCAGUACAU